This 538-nucleotide ribosomal RNA is filed under the name Pichia membranifaciens. RNAcentral's name for it is "partial large subunit ribosomal RNA". It matches the Rfam family "Eukaryotic large subunit ribosomal RNA", at positions 70 to 630 of the family's 3401-position model. The record is from RNAcentral. Lineage: Eukaryota; Fungi; Ascomycota; Pichiomycetes; Pichiales; Pichiaceae.
AGCGAUGUCCAGUAGCGGCGAGUGAAGCGGCAAGAGCUCAGAUUUGAAAUCGUGCUAAUUUUUUUGGCACGAGUUGUAGAGUGUAGGCGGGAGUCUUUGUGGAGCACGGUGUCCAAGUCCCUUGGAACAGGGCGCCUGAGAGGGUGAGAGCCCCGUGGGGUGCCGUGCGAAGCUUUGAGGCCCUGCUGACGAGUCGAGUUGUUUGGGAAUGCAGCUCCAAGUGGGUGGUAAAUUCCAUCUAAGGCUAAAUACUGGCGAGAGACCGAUAGCGAACAAGUACUGUGAAGGAAAGAUGAAAAGCACUUUGAAAAGAGAGUGAAACAGCACGUGAAAUUGUUGAAAGGGAAGGGUAUUGGGCCCGACAUGGGGAGUGCGCACCGCUGUCUCUUGUAGGCGGCGCUCUGGGCGCUCUCUGGGCCAGCAUCGGUUCUUGCUGCGGGAGAAUGGGUGCCGGAAAGUGGCUCUUCGGAGUGUUAUAGCCGGCGCCAGAUACCGCGUGCGGGGACCGAGGACUGCGGCUUCUGUCUCGGAUGCUGCA